RNAcentral lists this long non-coding RNA (828 nucleotides) under Mytilus galloprovincialis (Mediterranean mussel). Lineage: Eukaryota; Metazoa; Mollusca; Bivalvia; Mytilida; Mytilidae. The record is from RNAcentral.
CAUGGCUAAAAAUAGAACACAGGGUAAAAUGCAGUUUUUGGCUUAUAUCUAAAAAACUCCAGCAUUUAGAGCAAAUAAGACUAGAAGUUAAAAUAUUUAUUAGGUCAAGGUCUACCUGUCCUGAAAUUUUCAAUUUGCAAUUUGCAAAAAAAAUAAUUUGUUGUGCUACUUCCAAAAAAUAGAAAAUAUUCUGACCAGAAAAAAACCCAUGUCCCCCUACAAGUUAAAUGGUCCAUGCCUAACUGUUAUUAAUGAAAUCAUUUAACUGUUUUGCUGUUAUUGGAGCCCCUUGCCCCUUCUCAGCAGUGGAAUAAAUCCAAAUCAUGAAUGAAGAAAUUCGAAAGAAUAACAAUUUAAUAAUGUAACAAUAACAAUUUUAUUGUUAAAAUUCUUUUAUUGUAACUAUAAUGUAAUAAAAAUAACGUCCUGCCGCUCUUCUUGUAUGCAUAUUAUAUUAGAAGGAAACGUGUAAACAUGGUAGAACUUGUAUUUCUAAUAUUGAAGAAUUGUUAGCUGUACAUGUUUGCCUGGCAUGGUUCAAUAUGUUCAAUAAGGCAUUAUUUACCAGGUGAGCGAUUCAGGCUCUUGAGAGCCUCUUGUUCUAUUAAGUAUAUAAUAAAGUUCAUUUAUCAUGUUUAUAGAAAAAUAUAAAGAAAUCAUAUAUUAGAAAGAAAAAAAAGAUUUAUACUGGAGAGCCCCCUUAAUAUAAACAUAUUUUAUUUGUAAUCAUCAAAGGGAAUGAGACACAAGCUAAGACUUAUGAUGUCUUCUUUGGUAUCUUUUCUUGUCUACAUGAAAUUUUAUUUUGCUGUUAUCACAGUCCAGGCA